This 200-nucleotide unclassified non-coding RNA is filed under the name Hevea brasiliensis (rubber tree). The record is from RNAcentral. Lineage: Eukaryota; Viridiplantae; Streptophyta; Magnoliopsida; Malpighiales; Euphorbiaceae.
CGUUGCCGAAGGUGUAGAUCACCGGGCCGACCAUGUUGACGCCGAACGGCAACGGCGACGGCGCUGGAGUUGCCUGCAAUUCUUCAAGGUAGAUGUGCUGCUUGGCAGGCGACCAGCCGGUGCCGCCAUGUUCCUUCGGCCAAUGCGGAACGGCCCAGCCCUUCUUGUGAAGGAUGCGCGUCCACGUGAUGAUGUCGUCC